Molecule: long non-coding RNA, 1724 nt
Organism: Phasianus colchicus (ring-necked pheasant)
Lineage: Eukaryota; Metazoa; Chordata; Aves; Galliformes; Phasianidae
Source: RefSeq, a predicted model, not a curated record
UUGCCCGUUCCGCCGCCGCGGAGAGCGGCCCCGGGCGCGCCGCAAUCGUGAUCGUAACCGAGGCCUUGUGGGCCGCGUGGCGCUGAGCCCGACGGCGGGGGCUCGGGAUUCCGAGGUCACCCCCCGGGAACCGCGUGGACGAGAGCGGGCGCGGCGGGGCGGGCGGACCUCGGGCCCCGUGUGUCGGUACGCCCCUGGAGAGGGGCUGCCCGGCUCGGUCUCUCCCCUCCCCCGGGCAGCCGAGAGCUUUUCACCCUCCGGUUUUGAAUAAAUCCAGUCGGAAAAAAAUAUAAGCGCAACCCACCCUCGCUCCCCCCUCCAAUCCCUCCGCCCGAGCUCUACCCACGCCGAGCGGAAUGCAAAAACGCACCUGACCUUGAAUGCAGCCUACGAGAGAUAUGAAAAUCCCGCAAGCAGGCAGGGACUCGCUUAGAAGCUAGCUAACCUUGAAGAACUUGUCAAGCUUCCCCCCUCGGCUGCCGUGUUUAUCUGAGAAAUCAGAGGAGUCUCCGUUGCAGAUGGGGAACAAUGGCAUUGGGACUUGACGCCUACAGAUAACUUCGGCGCUAAGAUUUCUUCGGGCACAAAGGACCCUCGCACCAAGCAUACCUGGUGAUGAUAUCAGCUGAAGUAAUUAAGGCAGUUUCGUGCUGUAGAGAGAAAGGUGGAGCCCCAACAACAUGAAACUACCUAAACCACAGAGCAGUUCUCAGGCGCUAAUAAUUACUUUCCCCAUAGCCGUGGUCUUUAACGCAAGGAUCCCGCUACGGAAAUAAAACCAGAAACGUGACCCCGCGGUCCCUCUCGCCCCCCGCGCACCCCGCCGGGCCCCCCGCGCCCCCCGGCCGGGUUCAGGGAAACGGAGAAAUAGCAUCAGAACCCCCCCCCCGAGGGCGGCUUUCGCCUCUCCAUGCAGAUGGGAAGGCCGUCCGCUGCGAUGUUACAUCAUAAAAAGCUAACGGCUCCCUCUAAGCCCGGGUUCAAAGUCUCUCCCCCUCCUCCCAGCACACACAUACCCGGGAAGAAAGCUGGAGCUGUCGCUCCUCUGCCAGCCCUCGCUGUGCCUUCCCUUUGUGCGAGCCCCCGCUAGCUGAGCAUGCAGCGAAGGAGGGAGGAUGCAAAGGCGGCCCGGGGGGAAUAAGCGCUCCCGCAUGCAGCCAGUCUGUGCAGCUCCUCAGUCAACUGAAACCACUCGUUCAAGACAGCAACAAUCCAGAUAUACUAGCAAGUCAUAAAACUGAACAAAAGCCGACAAACCUUAGAGCACCAUCGCUAUAUGGCCCAGACAAAUUACGACCGUCUAGGGGGAAUCGUUGUGUGCUUAUCCCGUGUUACCAACGGUAACGCUGUUUAUCAACCAAAAAAAAAAAAAAAAAAAAAAUCACUAAUUCCACAUCUUUAAGCAAAACUACGUUACGUAAAUAUCUACAACCAGAAAGAGAGAGAGAAAUUCAGAGCUUGAAAGAGCAAAGCGGGCCCGGGAAGGCUGCAGGAACCGAGGAGGCUCACACAUGGCCCUCAGCAUUAGCAUGGCUUUCUUCCGCUCCCCCCGCAGCCCCGAAGCAGCUAUUAAGAGUUUAAGGACAUACUGAGAACGUCUAAAAUCGUUAAUCCAUACAGGUGCGGAUGACUACAGCCUAGGAAAAUGAUACUGGCUCUUUAAACCAUAAAGAUGUGUUUAUAGGUUCAUCAAGAGAAAUUAAAGUUGGCUGUGAGCUCCCGAA